GAACUGCGAUAAGUAAUGUGAAUUGCAGAAUUCAGUGAAUCAUCGAGUCUUUGAACGCACAUUGCGCCCCCUGGCAUUCCGGGGGGCAUGCCUGUCCGAGCGUCAUUGCUGCCCUUCAAGCCCGGCUUGUGUGUUGGGUCGUCGUCCCCCCCGGGGGACGGACCCGAAAGGCAGCGGCGGCACCGUGUCCGGUCCUCGAGCGUAUGGGGCUUUGUCACCCGCUCGAUAAGGACCGGCCGGGCGCCAGCCGGCGUCUCCAACCUUUUUUUCUCAGGUUGACCUCGGAUCAGGUAGGGAUACCCGCUGAACUUAAGC
This 315-nucleotide unclassified non-coding RNA is filed under the name plant metagenome. RNAcentral describes it as "partial contains 5.8S ribosomal RNA, internal transcribed spacer 2, and large subunit ribosomal RNA". The stretch from base 1 to 105 matches the Rfam family "5.8S ribosomal RNA", at positions 50 to 154 of the family's 154-position model. The record is from RNAcentral.